GCAACAGUGGCUCAGUGGUAGAAUUCUCACCUUCCAUGUGAGAGACCUGGGUUCGAUUCCCAGCCAAGGCA
RNAcentral lists this transfer RNA (71 nucleotides) under Loxodonta africana (African savanna elephant). It matches the Rfam family "tRNA". Rfam says of the family: Transfer RNA (tRNA) molecules are approximately 80 nucleotides in length. Their secondary structure includes four short double-helical elements and three loops (D, anti-codon, and T loops). Further hydrogen bonds mediate the characteristic L-shaped molecular structure. tRNAs have two regions of fundamental functional importance: the anti-codon, which is responsible for specific mRNA codon recognition, and the 3' end, to which the tRNAs corresponding amino acid is attached (by aminoacyl-tRNA synthetases). tRNAs cope with the degeneracy of the genetic code in two manners: having more than one tRNA (with a specific anti-codon) for a particular amino acid; and 'wobble' base-pairing, i.e. permitting non-standard base-pairing at the 3rd anti-codon position. The record is from Rfam by way of RNAcentral. Lineage: Eukaryota; Metazoa; Chordata; Mammalia; Proboscidea; Elephantidae.